Molecule: transfer RNA, 79 nt
Filed under: Dryocosmus liui
Lineage: Eukaryota; Metazoa; Arthropoda; Insecta; Hymenoptera; Cynipidae
Description: tRNA-Lys
Source: RNAcentral
UAUUAAGUAUCUUAAAUUAAAGUAAUGAUCUUUUAAAUCAUUUAUAGUAAAAAAAAAAUUUAAAUAUUACUCUUAAUAA